This 467-nucleotide ribosomal RNA is filed under the name uncultured bacterium. RNAcentral describes it as "partial 16S ribosomal RNA". It matches the Rfam family "Bacterial small subunit ribosomal RNA", at positions 28 to 507 of the family's 1533-position model. The record is from RNAcentral.
GAUGAACGCUGGCGGCGUGCUUAACACAUGCAAGUCGAACGGAAAGGCCCAAGCUUGCUUGGGUACUCGAGUGGCGAACGGGUGAGUAACACGUGGGUGAUCUGCCCUGCACUUCGGGAUAAGCCUGGGAAACUGGGUCUAAUACCGGAUAGGACCACUUCUUGGAUGUUGUGGUGGAAAGUUUUUUCGGUGUGGGAUGAGCUCGCGGCCUAUCAGCUUGUUUGUGGGGUAAUGGCCUACCAAGGCGUCGACGGGUAGCCGGCCUGAGAGGGUGUACGGCCACAUUGGGACUGAGAUACGGCCCAGACUCCUACGGGAGGCAGCAGUGGGGAAUAUUGCACAAUGGGCGCAAGCCUGAUGCAGCGAAGCCGCGUGGGGGAUGACGGGCUUCGGGUUGUAAACGCCUUUCGCUAGGGACGAAGCGUUUUGUGACGGUACCUGGAGAAGAAGCACCGGCUAACUACGUG